RNAcentral lists this non-coding RNA (79 nucleotides) under Filimonas lacunae. The record is from RNAcentral. Lineage: Bacteria; Pseudomonadati; Bacteroidota; Chitinophagia; Chitinophagales; Chitinophagaceae.
AACCGCCGUAUACCGAACGGUACGUACGGUGGUGUGAGAGGACAGAUAGUCGGCGAAGCCGACUAUCUUCCUACUCGAU